RNAcentral lists this ribosomal RNA (328 nucleotides) under uncultured bacterium. Its description in RNAcentral is "bacterial SSU rRNA". It matches the Rfam family "Bacterial small subunit ribosomal RNA", at positions 28 to 334 of the family's 1533-position model. The record is from RNAcentral.
GACGAACGCUGGCGGCGCGCCUAACACAUGCAAGUCGAACGGAGCUAUUUCGACAGAUCCUUCGGGUGGACAUUGGCUUAGCUUAGUGGCGAACGGGUGAGUAACACGUGAGGAACCUGCCCUUCAGAGGGGGACGAACAGUUGGAAACGGCUGCUAAUACCGCAUAAUGUACAGAGGGGGCGAUCCCUUUUGUAUCAAAGGAGAAAUCCGCUGAAAGAUGGGCUCACGUCUGAUUAGCUGGUUGGUGGGGUAAAGGCCUACCAAGGCUGCGAUCAGUAGCCGGACUGAGAGGUUGAACGGCCACAUUGGGACUGAGAUACGGCCCAG